AGAGUUUGAUCAUGGCUCAGGAUGAACGCUAGCGGCGCGCUUAAUGCAUGCAAGUCGAGCGAUGAGGCUCCUUUCGGGGAGUACAUCAGCGGCAGACGGGUGAGUAACACGUAGAUAACCUACCCUCAAGACGGGGAUAACCGGUGGAAACAGCGGCUAAUACCCGAUAGGCUCACAGCCUCGGGAGAGGGAGUGAGGAAAGGCUUCGGUGCUUGAGGAGGGGUCUGCGGCCCAUCAGCUAGUUGGUGAGGUAACGGCUCACCAAGGCGAAGACGGGUAGGGGGUGUGAGAGCACGACCCCCCACAAUGGGACUGCGACACGGCCCAUACUCCUACGGGAGGCAGCAGCAGGGAAUAUUGCGCAAUGGACGGAAGUCAGACGCAGCGACGCCGCGUGGGCGAUGAAGGCCUUCGGGUUGUAAAGCCCUUUACUGGGGGACGAGGCAGGACGGUACCCCAGCAACAAGCGUCGGCUAACUACGUGCCAGCAGCCGCGGUAAGACGUAGGACGCGAGCGUUAUCCGGAUUUACUGGGCGUAAAGCGCCUGUAGGCGGUCGGAUAAGUCGGAUGUGAAAGCCCCGUGCUCAACGCAGGGACGCCAUUCGAUACUGUCGGACUUGAGAGCGGCAGAGGGAAACGGAAUUUCUGGUGUAGCGGUAAAAUGCGCAGAGAUCAGAAAGAACACCAAUGGCGAAGGCAGUUUCCUAGGCCGCACCUGUCGCUGAGAGGCGAAAGCUAGGGGAGCGAACAGGAUUAGAGACCCUGGUAGUCCUAGCUGUAAACGCUGGAUGCUAGGUGUAGGUCGUAGAGAUCUGUGCCGGAGUUAACGCGAUAAGCAUCCCGCCUGGGGAGUACGGCCGCAAGGCUAAAACUCAAACGAAUUGACGGGGACCCGCACAAGCAGCGGAGCGUGUGGUUUAAUUCGAUGCUACACGAAGAACCUUACCUGGGCUUGACAUGUAGGUGGUAGCGAAGUGAAAGCGGAGCGACCCUUCGGGGAGCCUACACAGGUGCUGCAUGGCUGUCGUCAGCUCGUGCCGUGAGGUGUCGGGUUAAGUCCCGUAACGAGCGCAACCCUUGUCCUUAGUUACAAGUGUCUAAGGAGACUGCCGGUGACAAACCGGAGGAAGGUGGGGAUGACGUCAAGUCAGCAUGGCCCUUAUGUCCAGGGCGACACACACGCUACAAUGGCCGGUACAAUGGGUAGCUAAGCCGUGAGGCGGAGCCAAUCCUCCAAAGCCGGUCUCAGUUCGGAUUGCAGUCUGCAACUCGACUGCAUGAAGCUGGAGUUGCUAGUAAUCGCAGGUCAGCCAUACUGCGGUGAAUACGUUCCCGGGCCUUGUACACACCGCCCGUCACGUCAUGGGAGCUGGCAACACCUGAAACCGGUGGGCCGACCCGCAAGGGAGGUAGCCGUCUAAGGUGGGGCCGGUGACUGGGACGAAGUCGUAACAAGGUAGCC
This 1463-nucleotide ribosomal RNA is filed under the name uncultured organism. RNAcentral describes it as "bacterial SSU rRNA". It matches the Rfam family "Bacterial small subunit ribosomal RNA". The record is from RNAcentral.